Molecule: long non-coding RNA, 3085 nt
Organism: Oncorhynchus nerka (sockeye salmon)
Lineage: Eukaryota; Metazoa; Chordata; Actinopteri; Salmoniformes; Salmonidae
Exons: 2
Source: RefSeq, a predicted model, not a curated record
AAUCUGAUUUUAACCCUUAACCACACCGCCAACAUUAUGCCUAACCCUAUGCUUUAAAUAAGAACAAAAAGCAAAAAAAAAAGUCAUUAAUAUUUUCCGAUAUAGCCAAUUUGUACUUUGUGGCUGUGUUAUCUAGUGGAAACAGGCAGGGAGAGGCAAGAUGGCUGACGCCGGGGAGCGCUUGAGCAAUGCAGGCAGUGUGGUGGUUCACAGUGGACCGUGUUCGAAGGCUCAUGUUUGCAGACUUCCUGAUUAACCUGAUCCUGUGGGUGGAGGGCUUCUUGGCAGCCAUCCCCUUCAGCACGCUUGUGGCCAUCUUGGCUUUGUGGUUUGGCAUGUCUGGGCCCUUCACCUUUGUGGGCGCCUAGCCUACUUCGGCUUCAAGAUGCCUGUGAGUUUAACCUAUCAAUCACGCUGUCUGUAUGGAUAACUCUUUCAGGUCAUCUUACAUCAUGUGCAUUUCCCCCCUAAGGUUGCAAUCUCUUUCAAACUGGCACAAAUCAGAGAAAACAUAGCAUACUAAGAAGGGUUUGUCUUGAUGUGUUUCUAUGCUACUCUCUGUGCUCCAGGCACACAAUUUUUUAAAAAUUUUUUAAUAUAUAUUUUUUACAUACAGUACCAGUCAAAAGUUUGGACACCUACUAAUUCAAAGGUUUUUCUUUAGUAAAAAUAAACUCAGGGAAAAAAAGAAACGUCCUCUCACUGUCAACUGUGUUUAUUUUCAGCAAACUUCAUGUGUAAAUAUUUGUAGGAACAUAACAAGAUUCAAUAACUGAGACAAACUGAACAAGUUCCACAGACAAGUGACUAACAGAAAUGGAAUAAUGUGUCCCUGAACAAAGGGGGGGUAAAAAUCAAAAGUAACAGUCAGUAUCUGGUGUGGCCACCAGCUGCAUUAAAUACUGCAGUGCAUCUCAUCCUCAUGGACUGCACCAGAUUUGCCAGUUCUUGCUGUGAGAUGUUACGCAACUCUUCCACAAAGGCACCUGCAAGUUCCCGGACAUUUCUGGGGGGAAUGGCCCUAGCCCUCACCCUCUCAUCCAACAGGUCCCAGAUGUGCUCAAUGGGAUUGAGGUCGAAGCUCUUCGCUGGCCAUGGCAGAACACUGACAUUCCUGUCUUACAGGAAAUCACGCACAGAACGAGCAGUAUGGCUGGUGACAAUGUCAUGCUGGAGGGUCAUGUCAGGAUGAGCCUGCAGGAAGGGUACGACAUGAGGGAGGAGGAUGUAUUCCCAAUAAAGCACAGCAUUGAGAUUGCCUGCAAUGACAAGCUCAGUCUGAUGAUGCUGUGACACACCGCCCCAGACCAUGACGGACCCUCCACCUCCAAAUCGAUCCCACUCCACAGUACAGGCCUCGGUGUAAUGCUUAUUCCUUUGACGAUAAACGCGAAUCCGACCAUCACCCCUGGUGAGACAAAACCACGACUCGUCAGUGAAAAGCACUUCUUGCCAGUCCUGUCUGGUCCAACGACGGUGGGUUUGUGCCCAUAGGCGACGUUGUUGCCGGUGAUGUCUGGUGAGGACCUGCCUUAAUACAACAGGCCUACAAGCCCUCAGUCCAGCCUUUCUCAGCCUAUUGCGGACCGUUUGUGCACUGAUGACGGAUUGUGCAUUCCUGGUGUAACUCGGGCAGUUGUUGUUGCCAUCCUGUACCUGUCCCGCAGGUGUGAUGUUCGGAUGUAUCGAUCCUGUGCAGAUGUUGUUACACUUGGUCUGCCACUGCAACACAGUAUGGACAUUGCAAUUUAUUGCCCUGGCCACAUCUGCGGUCCUUAAGCCUCCUUGCAGCAUGCCUAAGGCACGUUCACGAAGAUGAGCAGGGACCCUGGGUAUCUUUCAUUUGGUAUUUUUCAGAGUCAGUAGAAAGGCCUCCUUACUGUCCUAAGUUUUCAUAACUGUGACCUUACUUGCCUACCGUCUGUAAGCUGUUAGUGUCUUAACGACCAUUCCACAGGUGCAUGUUAAUUAAUUGUUUAUGGUUCAUUGAACAAGCAUGGGAAACGGUGUUUAAACCCUUUACAAUGAAGAUCUGUGAAGUUAUUGUGAUUUUUACAAAUUAUCUUUGAAAGACAGGGUCCUGAAAAUGGGACUUUUUUUGCUGAGUUUAUUUUCUAUAUUGGCUAUUGGUUGAGAUGCAUGGCCUGUUCUAGCUUGGUAUGUCAGGAAAUUGGAAAUGUGAAUUGGGCCAAGUCGGAGGUAAUAAAACAUUUUGUUUAAUAUCUCUUAUGUUUAAUAUAUUCAAAUGAAUUACACUACCGUUCAAAAGUUUGGGGUCACAUAGAAAUGUCCUAGUUUUUGAAAGAAAGGCACAUUUGUUUUGUCUGUUAAAAUGACAUCAAAUUGAUCAAAUGCAGUGUAGACAUUAUUCAUGGCCUUCUAGGCAGAGUUGCAAAGAAAAGGCCAUAUCUCAGACUGACCAAUAAAAAUAAAAUAUUAAGAUGGGCAAAAGAACACAGACACUGAACAGAGGACUCUGCCUAGAAAGCCAGCAUCCUGGAGUCAGUCGCCUCUUCACUGUUGAAGUUGAGACUGGUGUUUUGCAGGUACUAUUUAAUGAAGCUGCCAGUUGAGGACUUGUAAAUUUGUAUUAGGUUCCCCAUCAGCUAACACCAUAACGCUAGUUAAUCUUCCUGGGGUCCAACACUGUUGGAGGAAAUUAUAGUUGAAAUGAUUAAUUAUGUAUACAUUUUUAAUUAGAACCAUUUAUUCUAAUACUAUGUUAUGGUAUGAAAUGUAUGGGUUCUUGGUUAAGCUGUUACUGAAAAUGUAAGUAAAACAAAUUAAUUGUCUGUACCUUGUGAGAAGUUUAAGGGAGAGGAAUGAUAGAAAAGAUAAAACAGAUAAGAAUGGUCUUUGAUGUUCCAUUAGUGGAGGAGAAGAUGUCUUUUAGACAGAUUGGAAUGUUUGUUUUAUGAGGGGAGUAGAAGAAGAUCUCCAGAACUUAAGACACUGCGCUAUUGUGUGGAUAGGAGAGGGUGUGAGAAACUGAUGAUGUCAUUUUAUGUUGUUUCUUUAAAUUGUAAGGUUCUUUGUAUUUUGCUUCAGUACUCUCUUGAAUUAAACGCUGUUACCUGACUUUUAA